CCUGGAGGAAGGUGGGGAUGACGUCAAAUCAUCAUGCCCCUUAUGCUUAGGGCUACACACGUGCUACAAUGGGUAGUACAGAGGGUUGCCAAGCCGUAAGGUGGAGCUAAUCCCUUAAAGCUACUCUCAGUUCGGAUUGUAGGCUGAAACUCGCCUACAUGAAGCUGGAGUUACUAGUAAUCGCAGAUCAGAAUGCUGCGGUGAAUGCGUUCCCGGGUCUUGUACACACCGCCCGUCACACCACGGGAGUUGGAGACGCCCGAAGCCGAUUAUCUAACCUUGUGGGAGAAGUAGUCGAAGGUGGAAUCAAUGACUGGGGUGAAGUCAUAACAAGGUAGCCGUAUCGGAAGGUGCGGCUGGAUCACCUCCUUUCUAAGGAGA
RNAcentral lists this ribosomal RNA (381 nucleotides) under Clostridioides difficile. RNAcentral describes it as "bacterial SSU rRNA". It matches the Rfam family "Bacterial small subunit ribosomal RNA", at positions 1162 to 1533 of the family's 1533-position model. The record is from RNAcentral. Lineage: Bacteria; Bacillati; Bacillota; Clostridia; Peptostreptococcales; Peptostreptococcaceae.